UACAAACUUUAGCCCUUUGGGAAUCACACCAUUGUAAGUUCUGUAUAUGGCGCCAAAUGCUCCAAAACUUCCAACCUAUCCGUAAAAAAAAAAAAAAAACCACAUAACCCAGGAAACUGUUAACAGGACCCAGAACCCAGAUGGCUCUCGUCAGAGUCCCCUCUUCUUUCCCUUCCAUUCUCCCUUCAGUCUUUCCGAAGAAACUCUUGUCAGUUUCUUCCUCCUUUCCCAUUUCUUGCUCUUCAAAAUCUACUCCCAAUCAAGUCAAAAAUAAUGAUGAUAACAGUAAUAUUGAUAAUCCCAAGGGACCCAAGAGAUUGUCAGAGCAGUCUUCCUGGCAAGCCAAAGAUUCAGAAGGGAGAGAUUAUCUUUACAGGCUUGGCAAAGAAGCUGAUAACAUGAACAUAGCCGUUGGUGCUAGAGCUGGUGUCAUUGAUGAUCUUUUUGCUGGGAAUUUUCUUGGCAGAGACUGCAGAAGGUGACGAGGUCAUUUGAGUAUCUACAAGGGGAUUAUUACAUCGCUCCUGCAUUCAUGGAUAAAGUUGUAUGCCACAUCGUGAAGAACUUCCUUGCUCAUCUUCUCAAUGUGAAAAUUCCUUUGAUUCUAGGUAUCUGGGGAGGAAAAGGACAAGGAAAAUCAUUCCAAACUGAACUCAUUUUUCAGGCUAUGGGGAUUGAACCUGUAAUUAUGUCUGCUGGGGAACUAGAAUCUGAAAGGGCUGGAGAACCAGGAAAACUGAUACGCGAACGCUAUAGAACAGCUU
Molecule: non-coding RNA, 764 nt
Organism: Theobroma cacao (cacao)
Lineage: Eukaryota; Viridiplantae; Streptophyta; Magnoliopsida; Malvales; Malvaceae
Source: RefSeq, a predicted model, not a curated record